Molecule: ribosomal RNA, 253 nt
Filed under: uncultured bacterium
Lineage: Bacteria
Description: partial 16S ribosomal RNA
Rfam family: Bacterial small subunit ribosomal RNA
Source: RNAcentral
UACGUAGGUGGCAAGCGUUAUCCGGAGUUAUUGGGCGUAAAGGGAACGCAGGCGGUCUUUUAAGUCUGAUGUGAAAGCCUUCGGCUUAACCGGAGUAGUGCAUUGGAAACUGGGAGACUUGAGUGCAGAAGAGGAGAGUGGAACUCCAUGUGUAGCGGUGAAAUGCGUAGAUAUAUGGAAGAACACCAGUGGCGAAAGCGGCUCUCUGGUCUGUAACUGACGCUGAGGUUCGAAAGCGUGGGUAGCAAACAGG